Diceros bicornis minor is the source of this 459-nucleotide long non-coding RNA. RefSeq lists it as uncharacterized. The record is from RefSeq and is a predicted model, not a curated record. NCBI's taxonomy places the organism in Eukaryota, Metazoa, Chordata, Mammalia, Perissodactyla, Rhinocerotidae. The transcript has 3 exons.
AGCCUCCACCAGGCUGCUCUCUCAGAAGGAGUUGAGAACAGAGAGGGAAGAGGCUCAGCUGAUGCUGUGAAGGUACUUUAAGGGCACAGGCAGAUCAGAGCCAGACUUCUGAAUGGGGAAACUGGGAAAUUGCCAGUAACCUGUACUGGGACUUCAGGCACGUUCCUGUCCAAGAACUGCCGGGGACUCCAUUUCUUCGUGGGAAACUGCUUGCUCGAGUCACUGAUUGCCAAAUCCACUGCCAUCUUCCCAGCCUUCUCCCGUUUCUUCCUCUGCAGCAGGAAUUGACAGAGCCACAAAAUGGACUCUGGGUCCCUGAAUGACAUUAUGGAAAGUCACCCACCAAAUGCCAGGAUUGGACUGUUACGUAAGCAAGGAAAAAACUUCUCUUGAGUUAUACCCCUGAGAGUUUGGGGUUGUUUGGGGUAACAAAACAGUUUGUUUUGUUACAGCAGUUAG